Long non-coding RNA from Syzygium oleosum, 4267 nucleotides. RefSeq lists it as uncharacterized. The transcript is spliced from 5 exons. NCBI's taxonomy places the organism in Eukaryota, Viridiplantae, Streptophyta, Magnoliopsida, Myrtales, Myrtaceae. The record is from RefSeq and is a predicted model, not a curated record.
CGCCUCCAAGACAUGUUUAUGCUGAGUCUAAGGGAGAGGCUGAGCCUCGGUGAAGUGAAGCCAUGAAGGACCUCGACUUCAAGGCAGGAUCGAGUUUGACUUUGUGACGCUGACAGGGAUCGCGAAGGAUUUCCUCUCGAACUUUGCCGAUGCAAAUGGAGAAGCCAAGUACACGAACGUCCUCCAAGAAGUAGCAAAUAGAAAAAUUCAUGCUGAUGAGAUUGAGCUCGAGGACUUAAGUCGAUUACAAGGACUUAGAUGAAGAAUUUCUUAGACGGGUCACUUAAAAUACUCGACGAUAUAUUGGAAUUUUCCCCGAGGCCAUCGAUGAGCUCAUGCCAGAACCCAUGGAGCCCUUUCCAGAUGAUGAUCACGACAUACUUUUAACCCAGAGGUCUGAAGAUAGGAGAGAUAAUGUGGACGGGGUGGAUCCACUACAGAAGAUGCAUUCUGAAAACAAAUGAUACCUUGAAGUUUAUAUUAGAGCAUCUUCGAAAGGACGGCCAUUAACUAUUAGAGAGGUCAAAGCAUCUUAUAUCGGUCAGCUAGUAAGGACGUCUGCGAUCAUUACAUGCUGUUCAGAUAUCAAGCCGUUGAUGCAGUUAGCUGUUUAUACGUGUGAACAUCUGCAUCGUAUGUUCCUAUUUGUGAUUUGAACGUGUUCACUCAGCUUCUUAGUUUGAUCAUCUUUUGAAAUCAACAUCUGAAUCUACAAGGUAAGUACCUCUAUACUCUGUUCUUGGAGAAAUAAAGACGAGAAAUCUUAACUACUGGUUUCUUGAAGAUCGUCUGCCAUUGAGUUCCUGUUUGUGAUUUGAACAAAAUUUCAUUGCAUAUGUGAUGAUUAGAAUAUGGAUUGUGGCAUCAAUCAGUUCCCUGGUUGAUGAAGAUUUUUUAUGAUGUUAAGUUUUUGAAGCUAGAAAAAUGGUGAACAGAGCUUAGGUGAAUGAUGAACAAAGCAAAGAGUUGAUCAUUUCUCUGUCGGACGUUGGAAAGAAAUAAUAAAUGAAAGAGGCAAAGGGAAACCAAGCGAAGAAUGAGUUCAUGUUCUUAAGGUGAUGGACUGAGAAAGAGAUCGAAAGAAAGAAAAUAAAAGAAAGAAAGCAAUAAAAAACUAAAAAAAUAUAUUUAUAGAGGAAGAGAAAGUUUAGCUGUGCUACGUGUUUGGGCGUAUAAGAAGAAUAAUAAGGGGAAAAAGAAAUUAAAGGGAAUAAAAAAAUCAUAAAAUAAUUAAAAAAACUGAUAAAAAUUAAAAAUACAUAAAAAAGGAGAAAUAAGUGCAACUGUGCAAGCCUCAGUUAGGUGGUUGCAUCUUAGGUUGUAGCGUUAGUUGAAUUUCAAUUUAGUUUGGGCUGAUUUGUUUAGGGAGAUAUUUUCUUUGAAUUUUGGAAAUGAAUCCAAACUUUAGAUAGUCUUUUUUUUCAGAUGAAACAAAUGAAAAGAAAAAAAAUAUAGAAAAUGUCAAACUUGUAUAAAAUUGAAAAGAUCAAAAUCUCAUUGCAUUAAUUUUAGAUUUGCAUCUAAGGAUUAGUUCGUAUACAUGUUUUUCCUCUUUUGUAGGUUUCAUUAACAAUAGAUUCGUUUUAGAUAUUAGAAUUAGAAUUACACUUUGGAUUUUAUUUGAUUUUAGCUCAUAGGGUUGCUCUCCUGUCACUUAAGAUGAGGCCUUGUGAUGUUCUUUACCCGACAUUGCAUUGGGUUAUUUUACCGUACCUUACCUUUUAUUUGUUCUUCAUCACUAUUCUUGAUGCGUUUGUUGUGAUUGCUCUUAUAUCAUUUUUUGUGUUGUGAUUCAUUGUUUUAAUUGAAUGGUUAAGUUACAUUCUAGGCCCAUAAUAAACAUAAAAAAGAUUACAUGUACACUUAGCAGACGAAAACAUUAGAACUAAUAAUUGGACAAAGACCACAUGGGACACUUAGUUAACAAUGAACCAAGUUAGGUGAUGAAAGGGUAUCAGUUGAAUAACUAGUGUAAUUAAGUCCUCCAAUCUAGAACUCUGGUUGCGUAGGAAGGGAGGUAUUCUCCCAUAUCUCAUUUGAUUUCUAGCCAAAUUUAAUAGGUUAGCGGUGACUCCUUAUCAUAUAGAAUUCUUAUAGGAUUAAUCAACUAAAAUGAAAUUCCAACAUCGAGCUAAGGGUUUGGGAGAAUUGGUGCCGAUUGAGGACUGUUGGUCCUCAACUCGACAUGACCUAUAAACCUAUCUCCCUGGUUGGCAGACCCACUUCGAGAAGGUUGCAACUGAUGCAUAAAGAAGAGAUCGCAUUUGUAAUGUUAAUUUUUCCUGAAACAAGAAGAAUGCACGUUGAGAAAUCUCUCUACCUUCCAAAUUUCCAUUAAAUGAUCCACAAAUAUGGCAAAAUAUUCGUGAACCAAUAAUCCACACAAAAUUACUCCCUAUCUAAAUCCUCAUAAUGGACUUUUGCAAAUUCGAACACUUCAUCCAUGUCUUGGAUUUUGAUAAUAGGUCAUAUUUGCGAACCUCCUCAAUUCGUCUCUCCAGAGUUGAAUGUUGUCCUACUUCCCAAAAGUCCUUCCCACGUGGAAAACCAACGAAUUCUCUAAUCACGAGUAAAUCAAAAUUCUAGAUGAAAAGCUCUGCCUAAUUCUUAGCUAGAAGUCCUCCAAAAAAUGUGUAUUCAACAUGCACGGCACAAAAAAAUUUACGCAAGGCCAAGAAAAAGAGUGUGGCUAAACUACAUAGUGGGGCCGGACUCAAAUGGGCGAAACAGAAAAUUCACUACCACCUAUCAAAGACUUCCUGUUCUCAUUGGAAUUGAAUUUCCUAAGAAAUUUUUGUUGGCUUUUUUUCCUUGAAAUUUCAUAAUAGUAAUUAUUUUUUGUCCUCAACCACAUCAGCAAACAUCCCUCAAUUCAUAUAGCCACGACCAAGAAUAAGGCCCUGCCGAUGGUGAUCGCCUUAUAUAGCGAUAAGAACGUCAUCAUUAAUACUCUACUCCCCACUCGUUUCAGGGCAACGCCGAAUGCGUACCCCAGUGCCCGCAACCUCAGUGGGAAGAUCUCUGAGCUGUACACCAUAUGAUUGGUCCUAUUCUAAUGGAGAAGAAGACCACGUAGGACAACACUGGGGAGAUGCACAUGGUCACUGUCCACAUGAGCUUCGUGUGGCUGUGGUCAAUGACAAUGAAGCACCUACUGAGAGAGUCGAGUGACAUGAUCAUCCCACCAAUGCUACUCGCAGCAACGAUUGGGCGGCAACCGUUGAUGUUGAAUAGCGUUGGCGAGAUGAUCUUGUCGCUCACCUCUCUCGGAAUGCGUCUCACCAUCAUCGCCCACAGCAACAUGAAACCCAUAUUGGCGGGGGUCAUGUGAAUCACCUCGUUGUCCUAGGUGGCCUUCUUCUUCAUCAGGAUGGGGCCAAUCACAUGGGUGUACAUCUGAAAGAUCUUUCCACAGAUGUUGCGUGCGCUGGAGUGCGUAAUCGAUGUUGAUAUUAAUCAGGUGAUGAGAGCAGUGUUAUUGAUGAUGUAUGUGUCGCUGUACAAUGCGAUCAUUUUAGGGCCGCCUUUUUGUUCACGGUGAUUGCAAGUGUCACUUGGGAGUUGUUUUGCACGAUGAUGCCGGAGACACAGGAGCAAAUAUUGGAGAAGAUGGGGCAGUUUUCGGUAAAUAAGCUAAGUCCAACAUUUUCGUUUGUUCGGUUUUCUGUAGCUGGUUUAGUUGAAUCGUGUCGUUCCUCUUUUGUUGAUCCGCAGAGAUAUUGCCGUUGAGAAUAGCUUACUCACAAGCUGCCACCUUUCACUGGAGUUCCACGACCCUCCAGUCUUUCUGGACUUUAUCACCUACUCAUCAUUUGGGUAAGUAUAAACUUGAUUAAUCGAAGCUUGGGAAUAUAUUGACUUUCUGAUUUUGAGUCAUAUACUUGGAGCAUGCGUCCUUUUCCUUCUUGUCGUAUUGCAGUCAUGGAUAAGCUAAGUCCAACGUUUUCGUUCAUUCGUGGUGCUCGGGGACGAGGGGUGGACGAUAGAGGAGUGCAGGCGCAUGAUAGGGGAGGUGGACAAGUGGGGACGGGUUCGUGUGCUUCGAGGACUUCGCUUCACAUAACUGCAUGAAACCGAGAGUGGGCGAUUGCUGUCCAGAUUAAAGAGUUGCUUAAUUCCAUGAGAAACGGAGAGUCUCAAGUUUGUUUAGGCUUGAUUUGGCUGUUACAUAAAAUCUUUGCAAGCACAAUCGUUUGUCUCAUGUUCUGGUGACUAUGACCGAUGAAAGACGACGAUUGUGUUCAAUGAUUACUUGCUGUCCAGAUUA